RNAcentral lists this ribosomal RNA (253 nucleotides) under uncultured bacterium. RNAcentral's name for it is "partial 16S ribosomal RNA". It matches the Rfam family "Bacterial small subunit ribosomal RNA", at positions 524 to 776 of the family's 1533-position model. The record is from RNAcentral.
UACGUAGGUGACAAGCGUUGUCCGGAUUUACUGGGCGUAAAGAGCGCGCAGGCGGUCGUUCAAGUCGAGUGUGAAAGCCCCCGGCUCAACUGGGGAGGGUCACUCGAUACUGAUCGACUCGAAGGCAGGAGAGGGAAGUGGAAUUCCCGGUGUAGUGGUGAAAUGCGUAGAUAUCGGGAGGAACACCAGUGGCGAAGGCGACUUCCUGGCCCAUUCUUGACGCUGAGGCGCGAAAGCUAGGGGAGCGAACGGG